UACGGGGGGAGCAAGCGUUGUUCGGAUUUACUGGGCGUAAAGGGCGCGUAGGCGGCGCAAUAAGUCACUUGUGAAAUCUCCGGGCUUAACCCGGAGCGGCCAAGUGAUACUGUCGUGCUAGAGUGCGGAAGGGGCUACUGGAAUUCUCGGUGUAGCGGUGAAAUGCGUAGAUAUCGAGAGGAACACCUGCGGCGAAGGCGGGUAGCUGGGCCGACACUGACGCUGAGGCGCGAAAGCCAGGGGAGCGAACGGG
This 253-nucleotide ribosomal RNA is filed under the name uncultured bacterium. RNAcentral's name for it is "partial 16S ribosomal RNA". It matches the Rfam family "Bacterial small subunit ribosomal RNA", at positions 524 to 776 of the family's 1533-position model. The record is from RNAcentral.